This 460-nucleotide ribosomal RNA is filed under the name uncultured bacterium. RNAcentral's name for it is "bacterial SSU rRNA". It matches the Rfam family "Bacterial small subunit ribosomal RNA", at positions 32 to 521 of the family's 1533-position model. The record is from RNAcentral.
AAUCAACGCUGGCGGCGUGCCUAACACAUGCAAGUCGCACGAGAAAGGGACUUCGGUCCUGAGUACAGUGGCGCACGGGUGAGUAACACGUGAAUCAUCUACCUUCGAGUGGGGAAUAACUGAGAGAAAUCUUAGCUAAUACCGCAUAAUACCUACGGGUCAAAGCAGCAAUGCGCUUGAAGAGGAGUUCGCGGCAGAUUAGUUAGUUGGCAGGGUAAUGGCCUACCAAGACGAUGAUCUGUAUCCGGCCUGAGAGGGCGCACGGACACACUGGAACUGAAACACGGUCCAGACUCCUACGGGAGGCAGCAGUGGGGAAUUUUGCGCAAUGGGGGAAACCCUGACGCAGCAACGCCGCGUGGAGGAUGAAAUCCCUUGGGAUGUAAACUCCUUCGAUCGGGAAGAUAAUGACGGUACCGAGAGAAGAAGCCCCGGCUAACUUCGUGCCAGCCGCCGCCGU